RNAcentral lists this ribosomal RNA (372 nucleotides) under uncultured organism. Its description in RNAcentral is "bacterial SSU rRNA". It matches the Rfam family "Bacterial small subunit ribosomal RNA", at positions 526 to 896 of the family's 1533-position model. The record is from RNAcentral.
CAGAGACUGCAAGCGUUAUUCGGAUUCACUGGGCGUAAAGGGUGCGCAGGCGGCCAAGUGUGUGAGGCGUGAAAGCCUGGAGCUUAACUCCAGAAUUGCACCUCAAACUACAUGGCUAGAGCAUUGGAGAGGGUAGCAGAAUUCAUGGUGUAGCAGUGAAAUGCGUAGAUAUCAUGAGGAAUACCAGAGGCGAAGGCGGCUACCUGGACAAUUGCUGACGCUCAGGCACGAAAGCGUGGGGAGCAAAAGGGAUUAGAUACCCCUGUAGUCCACGCCCUAAACGGUGCACACUAGGUCUUGGCGGAUUCGACCCCACCAGGGCCCAAGCUAACGCGUUAAGUGUGCCGCCUGAGGACUACGGCCGCAAGGCUA